RNAcentral lists this unclassified non-coding RNA (253 nucleotides) under uncultured Verrucomicrobiota bacterium. RNAcentral's name for it is "uncultured Verrucomicrobia bacterium contains 16S-23S intergenic spacer region". It matches the Rfam family "Bacterial small subunit ribosomal RNA", at positions 524 to 776 of the family's 1533-position model. The record is from RNAcentral. Lineage: Bacteria; Pseudomonadati; Verrucomicrobiota.
UACGGAGGCUCCAAGCGUUACUCGGAAUCACUGGGCGUAAAGGGUCCGUAGGCGGCCAUGUGUGUCAGGUGUGAAAUCUCGGGGCUCAACCUCGAAACUGCGCUUGAAACUAUAUGGCUAGAGUGUCGGAGGGGUGAGUGGAAUUCUCGGUGUAGCGGUGAAAUGCGUAGAUAUCGGGAGGAACACCUAUAGCGAAGGCAGCUCACUGGACGACAACUGACGCUGAGGGACGAAAGCGUGGGUAGCGAAAGGG